RNAcentral lists this ribosomal RNA (457 nucleotides) under Alasmidonta arcula. RNAcentral's name for it is "partial large subunit ribosomal RNA". It matches the Rfam family "Bacterial large subunit ribosomal RNA", at positions 1809 to 2561 of the family's 2925-position model. The record is from RNAcentral. Lineage: Eukaryota; Metazoa; Mollusca; Bivalvia; Unionida; Unionidae.
AAAAACAUCGUCUUCUGAAAAUCAUUGAUAGAAGAUAAUGCCUGCCCAGUGAAAUUUUAAACGGCCGCGUUAGCGUGAGCGUGCUAAGGUAGCGUAAUAAUUAGCCUUUUAAUUGAAGGCCAGUGAAUGGCAAGACUAGGAACAUCUUUACUUUGUAUAUAAAAAAAACUUCUUACCCAAGUGAAAAAACUUGGAUAAUAAAAGUAGACGAAAAGACCCCGCGGAGCUUUACCUUUUCUUAUACUAUUGUAUAUCCUCUAUAAGUAAUUAAGGUUUGAUUGGGGCAAUCUUGGAACCAAUAAAGCUUCCAAUUUUUAAUAAAAUCUAUUUAAAAUUUAUUAAGGACCAAAAAGAAGUUACCCCGGGGAUAACAGCGUAAUCCAACUUAAGAGUACAUAUCGAAAGUUGGGUUUGCGACCUCGAUGUUGGCUUAAGGAUAUCCACAUAAGUGCAACCG